RNAcentral lists this ribosomal RNA (372 nucleotides) under uncultured Actinomycetes bacterium. Its description in RNAcentral is "bacterial SSU rRNA". It matches the Rfam family "Bacterial small subunit ribosomal RNA", at positions 1022 to 1391 of the family's 1533-position model. Lineage: Bacteria; Bacillati; Actinomycetota; Actinomycetes. The record is from RNAcentral.
UGUGGCCUGUGUGCAGGUGGUGCAUGGCUGUCGUCAGCUCGUGUCGUGAGAUGUUGGGUUAAGUCCCGCAACGAGCGCAACCCUUGUCUCAUGUUGCCAGCGGGUAAUGCCGGGGACUCGUGAGAGACUGCCGGGGUCAACUCGGAGGAAGGUGGGGAUGACGUCAAGUCAUCAUGCCCCUUAUGUCCAGGGCUUCACACAUGCUACAAUGGCCGGUACAAAGGGCUGCGAAGCCGUGAGGUGGAGCGAAUCCCUGCAAAGCCGGUCUCAGUUCGGAUCGGGGUCUGCAACUCGACCCCGUGAAGUCGGAGUCGCUAGUAAUCGCAGAUCAGCAACGCUGCGGUGAAUACGUUCCCGGGCCUUGUACACACC